AAGAGAAAAAAAAGAUCCUUUGGGGGAAAUUGUGUGAUUGUCUUAUUUAAAUCAGAACUUUCCCCAUAUAAUCUACUUUCCAGUAGUGCUUCAAUUAUUUAAUACAUGGUUUUUCAUUAGCUUUGAACAUUUUAAAACAGCAACCAAAGGUACAUUUUUAAUGUGACAUGUAGAAUUCAUACACUAACAGGUGUUAGGAAAUGCAGACUGGGAAAUUAUUGCAAUCAAAUGGCAUAGACAAUAUUACAGCACAUAUUCCCUCAACCUUCUCUAGGUAAAAUUGAACUCAUGUCAGCUCUGCUGCAGCAAUGACAAAAGGAUUUAGUGAUUGGGGAGAAGGAGAAGGAGUAAACAACCUGUCUUUAACCUUUCAGGAGAUGGAGCUCACUCAGCAGGCAGGAUAUCAGGGCUACAGGAAGGCAACUGCACUGUGCAAGCACAGCCAACAGGAAGUGAAUACAAACAGAUUCUCCUCAACAUAAACACACACAGACUUCACCUAUGGCUGAACUUCUGCCCUUGGGUGACCAACACCAUUAGGACACAGGUCAAAAGGUGGUAGGACCGAAAAUGCAGCCUUAUUGAAUGAAAGAGAAAAUGAAAAAAAUUCUUUUGUUUGCUUCACUCUGUGAUUUGUAUAGCUACUGUGAUGUCAUAAUGAAGUCCAGAGUGGGAAAAAGAAGUCCCUGAUAUAUCACAGUCUGAGAAAGGCAGUUGGAAAUUGUUAAGCAUGAAAGAAAAAAUCAUGUGGAAGACGUACACAAAAUAAAAGCAGGUCUCACUGCUUUUCAAGGGGAGUGUAGAAGUGAUAAUAAGGGUACCCUUAUGUAAAACUGCCACAAGCUCUCAGAAGUGAGACUUUAGCUCCUUACAAAUGCUGAGCAGACGUGAACACCCUCCUGGGAGAUUGAUGAGUCCUAUUAAUCUUGUUGCAUAGAUGGAAACUCAGAAACAAAGUGACUCUGAGGAUUAAGAGGAAGUCAAUGUCAGCACCAGGAUUAGAAUUCACACUUGCCUGGUUUCUUAGCCCACGACCAGCUCCCCCAUGGAUUCCUGCUUUGUCUCCCUCCCAAGUGAGGGGACAGGGUGUUUCCAAACUUUAAAAGAAUCCUGUUAUCCUCAGGUCUCUGCCUUGUAGGAAGAUCCUUUCUUUUAAUAAAUUACAGAGCUGA
Callithrix jacchus (white-tufted-ear marmoset) is the source of this 1172-nucleotide non-coding RNA. The record is from RefSeq and is a predicted model, not a curated record. NCBI's taxonomy places the organism in Eukaryota, Metazoa, Chordata, Mammalia, Primates, Cebidae.